This is a non-coding RNA of Brassica rapa (field mustard), 124 nucleotides long. The record is from Rfam. NCBI's taxonomy places the organism in Eukaryota, Viridiplantae, Streptophyta, Magnoliopsida, Brassicales, Brassicaceae.
AGAAUAUAAGAAACCGUCUUUUAACUUUUGACUAAAAAAGUUAAAAAUCAGUUCUUAAAAGAUAUUUAAGAGCCGGUUCUUAACUUUUUUUAGUCAAAAGUUAAAAGACAGUUUCUUAUAUUCU